RNAcentral lists this small nucleolar RNA (138 nucleotides) under Ornithorhynchus anatinus (platypus). The record is from RNAcentral. Lineage: Eukaryota; Metazoa; Chordata; Mammalia; Monotremata; Ornithorhynchidae.
UCCCUCUCAGGGUCACACCUUGAGAGUUCCCAGUACUCUACCAGUCUCGACUAUAGGAGGGAGAGUCAGGCAGAGGCAUAUCCAUUCCAUUCCUAGCUUGGGCAGUGGCUAGCGAGUGGCAGGCAAUCUGCUGCAAGU